This 305-nucleotide ribosomal RNA is filed under the name uncultured bacterium. RNAcentral's name for it is "bacterial SSU rRNA". It matches the Rfam family "Bacterial small subunit ribosomal RNA", at positions 333 to 634 of the family's 1533-position model. The record is from RNAcentral.
CGCCCCCUACGGGACGCAGCAGUGAGGAAUAUUGGUCAAUGGGCGGAAGCCUGAACCAGCCAAGUCGCGUGAGGGAUUAAGGCCCUAUGGGUCGUAAACCUCCUUUGUCAGGGAGCAAUGGCGUCCACGUGUGGGCGUAUGGAGAGUACCUGAAGAAAAAGCAUCGGCUAACUCCGUGCCAGCAGCCGCGGUAAUACGGAGGAUGCGAGCGUUAUCCGGAUUUAUUGGGCGUAAAGGGAACGCAGGCGGUCUUUUAAGUCUGAUGUGAAAGCCUUCGGCUUAACCGGAGGAGUGCAUUGGAAACU